This 663-nucleotide ribosomal RNA is filed under the name uncultured bacterium. RNAcentral describes it as "bacterial SSU rRNA". It matches the Rfam family "Bacterial small subunit ribosomal RNA", at positions 139 to 813 of the family's 1533-position model. The record is from RNAcentral.
CGGGACAGCCUCGGGAAACCGUGGGUAAUACCGGAUACUCCGGGACGGCCGCAUGGCCGGCCCGGGAAAGCCCAGACGGGAGGGGAUGGGCCCGCGGCCUGUUAGCUAGUCGGCGGGGUAACGGCCCACCGAGGCGAUUAUGGGUAGCCGGGUUGAGAGACCGACCGGCCAGAUUGGGACUGAGACACGGCCCAGACUCCUACGGGAGGCAGCAGUGGGGAAUCUUGCGCAAUGGGCGGAAGCCUGACGCAGCGACGCCGCGUGCGGGACGAAGGCCUUCGGGUCGUAAACCGCUUUCAGCAGGGACGAGGCCCUCACGGUGACGGUACCUGCAGAAGAAGCCCCGGCUAACUACGUGCCAGCAGCCGCGGUAAUACGUAGGGGGCGAGCGUUAUCCGGAUUCAUUGGGCGUAAAGCGCGCGUAGGCGGCCUGUUAGGUCGGGGGUCAAAUACCGGGGCUCAACCCCGGUCCGCCCCCGAUACCGGCAGGCUUGAGUCUGGUAGGGGAAGGCGGAAUUCCCAGUGUAGCGGUGGAAUGCGCAGAUAUUGGGAAGAGCACCGGCGGCGAAGGCGGCCUUCUGGGCCACGACUGACGCUGAGGCGCGAAAGCUAGGGGAGCGAACAGGAUUAGAUACCCUGGUAGUCCUAGCCGUAAACGAUGAA